UUGCUAACACGUUUUCUGUACUGUUUUUAUUAGGCUCAUCGCCUUUGCCCUUCCUGCUUUUAACCGCUACAGUCAAAGUUACAGUAAUUCCAAAGCACAUGUGGAGUGAUGGCAAGGAAAUGUGAGCCUACAGAGCCCGUCCCGACCUACUCUGCUGGACACCGGGGCAAAGGGAAAGGAGUGAUGGCACCACCCUCCGCUCCUCAGAGAGUGAUAGCAGCUGCGGUUUCAGCUUUACUGGACAGCUCAGAAUGGCCCCAGAGGACGCACGUGUGUGCAGCUGGAGGGACAGUGUGCUUCUUCAGGUGCCGUGUGUACAGGGCUCUGCUGUGCUGCAUGUUUGGAGUUUGAGGGGGUAGAGCAGCCCAAGCUGUCAGGGAAGGGUGUUAGAAACCUGUUCUGACAAGGCUGCUGGUAUAUUUACAGUUGGCGAGGGCGAAGGCUUCAUCAAUCUUUGAGACGAGCGGAGGGACAGAGUGCUCCCCCAGCACCUGCGCUCCAUCUCAGCCACUGACCUGUAACUCUGUCCUCACUGCCGCCCACUUUGUGCCUUCCCAGCAGCCCCUGCUCUGCUGACCCAGGCAUGGGCUCUUAGGCUGGAGCUGCAGGUGAACAAUGGACAUUUAUAAUUUUGUUAAUUUUUUACUUAAAUGAGAACACCACUGCACUCAUUGGUAA
This 678-nucleotide long non-coding RNA is filed under the name Lepisosteus oculatus (spotted gar). RNAcentral's name for it is "lncRNA (ENSLOCG00000021766.1)". Lineage: Eukaryota; Metazoa; Chordata; Actinopteri; Semionotiformes; Lepisosteidae. The record is from RNAcentral.